This 74-nucleotide transfer RNA is filed under the name Pteropus alecto (black flying fox). It matches the Rfam family "tRNA". Rfam says of the family: Transfer RNA (tRNA) molecules are approximately 80 nucleotides in length. Their secondary structure includes four short double-helical elements and three loops (D, anti-codon, and T loops). Further hydrogen bonds mediate the characteristic L-shaped molecular structure. tRNAs have two regions of fundamental functional importance: the anti-codon, which is responsible for specific mRNA codon recognition, and the 3' end, to which the tRNAs corresponding amino acid is attached (by aminoacyl-tRNA synthetases). tRNAs cope with the degeneracy of the genetic code in two manners: having more than one tRNA (with a specific anti-codon) for a particular amino acid; and 'wobble' base-pairing, i.e. permitting non-standard base-pairing at the 3rd anti-codon position. RNAcentral also lists the same sequence under 1 other name. Lineage: Eukaryota; Metazoa; Chordata; Mammalia; Chiroptera; Pteropodidae. The record is from Rfam by way of RNAcentral.
GGCUCCAUAGUGUAGUGGUUAACAUGUCUGCUUUACACGCAGAAGGUCCUGGGUUUGCACCCCAGGUGGAGCCA